UGACUUCCGGGCCCUGUAGCCAUGCUAUGACGGUAUGUACGCAACUAAUUUAUAACACUCAACUUUGUUUUCAAUCCAGGUGGAUACGAUCCAGAUUCAAGUAAGAGUGGUGAAAUGAUACCGACAGGAACUACUUAUGUACUUGACCUCACCACGAAAGAAUGGGAAAGUAAACAGGACAUGAUCUGUGCUCGAGCACACCAUGGUGUUGUAACUAUUCGUGGCCGUAUUUAUGCUAUCGGUGGUCGUGAUAGCAGAGGGAGUAUACACACCGGAAAUAGACGCCUGGGAAAUGGAGAGACCAAUGCCCAUACCACGCAUGGGUCUGGGUGUAGUGACCUACAUGGGAUUUAUCUGAGUACUUGAUGGGUUGACGUCGUUUCCAGAAAAUUCUGAUUCACCAGUUCUUGAUAGCGUGUUGUGCUAUGAUCCAGUAACUAAAAUAUGGUCAUCUCGUCCUCCGCUGCCAAUGGCUAGGGCUUACUGCUCAGCCGUAGUUGCACAAGAUAGACUGUGGGUUGUCGGCGGUUGUUGUGUUUCUCGGUCCAAUAAAAACCACCUAGUGAGCACAGGAUUGCUCGAUAUUUAUAAUAUGGACUGUAAUGAAUGGGAAAAUAGAGCCGAGCUACAAAUACCGAGACAUUCUGCUGGGGUUGUUGCUUUUGAAGCCUUUAUCUAUGUUAUUGGAGGUAUAAGCAGUAAAGAAUGGGGCCAGUUUCAAAAACUGAACUCUUCAUGUUGGAUGACGAAAGCAUCAGAAAACCGAAAGAAAUCCCUGUUCCUUUAACUGGUGUGUCAGUAAUUGCCAUACCUCCAGUAGAAGCUGUUUU
RNAcentral lists this long non-coding RNA (830 nucleotides) under Limulus polyphemus (Atlantic horseshoe crab). RNAcentral describes it as "uncharacterized LOC111086489, transcript variant X1". Lineage: Eukaryota; Metazoa; Arthropoda; Merostomata; Xiphosura; Limulidae. The record is from RNAcentral.